UACGAAGGGUGCGAGCGUUAUUCGGAAUCACUGGGCGUAAAGGGUGCGUAGAUGGUGUGUUAAGUUUGUUGUUAAAGGCUCCGGCCUAACUGGAGUAUUGCGAUGAAAACUGGCGCGCUAGAGGGUGAGAGAGAGAAGUGGAAUUCCCGGAGUAGCGGUAAAAUGCGUGGAUCUCGGGAGGAACACCAAUGGCGAAGGCAGCUUCUUGGCUCAUUCCUGACAUUGAGGCACGAAAGCGUGGGGAG
RNAcentral lists this ribosomal RNA (245 nucleotides) under uncultured bacterium. Its description in RNAcentral is "partial 16S ribosomal RNA". It matches the Rfam family "Bacterial small subunit ribosomal RNA", at positions 524 to 768 of the family's 1533-position model. The record is from RNAcentral.